AUUGAACGCUGGCGGCAUGCUUUACACAUGCAAGUCGAACGGUAACAGGUUAAGCUGACGAGUGGCGAACGGGUGAGUAAUGCAUCGGAACGUGCCCGAUCGUGGGGGAUAACGCAGUGAAAGCUGCGCUAAUACCGCAUACGAUCUGAGGAUGAAAGCGGGGGACCGUAGGGCCUCGCGCGAUCGGAGCGGCCGAUGUCAGAUUAGGUAGUUGGUGGGGUAAAGGCCCACCAAGCCGACGAUCUGUAGCUGGUCUGAGAGGACGACCAGCCGCACUGGGACUUAGACACGGCGCAGAGUCCUACGGGAGGAAGCAGUGGGGAAUUUUGGACAAUGGGCGAAAGCCUGAUCCAUCAAUGCCGCGUGCAGGAAGAAGGCCUUCGGGUUGUAAACUGCUUUUGUACGGAGCGAAAAGGUCCUUUCUAAUACAAGGGGCUCAUGACGGUACCGUAAGAAUAAGCACCGGCUAACUACGUCCCAGCAGCAGCCGCCG
This 493-nucleotide ribosomal RNA is filed under the name uncultured bacterium. RNAcentral's name for it is "partial 16S ribosomal RNA". It matches the Rfam family "Bacterial small subunit ribosomal RNA", at positions 30 to 523 of the family's 1533-position model. The record is from RNAcentral.